This 193-nucleotide unclassified non-coding RNA is filed under the name uncultured fungus. Its description in RNAcentral is "sequence contains ITS1". The record is from RNAcentral. Lineage: Eukaryota; Fungi.
CAGUGUUGACAGAAAAAUGGAGUGGUACAUGGGCGGUUACCUAUACAUUCCCGGCUAUUGGUUUUAGUAUUGAUUAUACCGGUAAUAUUUAUGGGCCGAUGCGUUUGCCUUUAUUGUCGGAUAAAGAUCCGCGUCCUGCUUAUUCACCGGUAUGGAGCAUACAGAAUAUCCAAUUUACGAAACUGGUCAGCCA